Molecule: ribosomal RNA, 389 nt
Filed under: uncultured bacterium
Lineage: Bacteria
Description: bacterial SSU rRNA
Rfam family: Bacterial small subunit ribosomal RNA
Source: RNAcentral
GACGAACGCUGGCGGCGUGCCUAAUACAUGCAAGUCGAGCGAAUUUUUGGGAGCUUGCUCCCAAAAAUUAGCGGCGGACGGGUGAGUAACACGUGGGCAACCUGCCUAUAAGACUGGGAUAACUUCGGGAAACCGGAGCUAAUACCGGAUAAUUCACAUCUACUCAUGUAGAUGUGCUGAAAGACGGUUUACGCUGUCACUUAUAGAUGGGGCCCGCGGCGCAUAGCUAGUUGGUGAGGUAACGGCUCACCAAGGCCACGAUGCGCAGCCGACCUGAGAGGGUGAUCGGCCACACUGGGACUGAGACACGGCCCAGACUCCUACGGGAGGCAGCAGUGGGGAAUCUUGCGCAAUGCGCGAAAGCGUGACGCAGCAACGCGCGUGGGGAA